UAACAUAUGCUUGUCUCAAAGAUUAAGCCAUGCAUGUCUAAGUAUAAACAACUUUAUACUGUGAAACUGCGUACAGCUCAUUAAAUCAGUCAUUAUUUAUUUGAUGGUUUCUUACUUACAUGGAUACCCGUAGUAAUUCUAGAGCUAAUACAUGCAAAAAAUCCCGACUUUUGAAGGGAUGUAUUUAUUAGAUAAAAAACCAAUGCACCUUCGGGUGGUUUGUGGUGAUUCAUAAUAACUGAUCGAAUCGCAUGGCCUUGCGCUGGCGAUAGUUCAUU
Molecule: ribosomal RNA, 278 nt
Filed under: uncultured eukaryote
Lineage: Eukaryota
Description: partial 18S ribosomal RNA
Rfam family: Eukaryotic small subunit ribosomal RNA
Source: RNAcentral